AAGGCCUGAUGUGUGUGAGAUUACCCGCUGAAUUUAAGCAUAUAAGUAAGCGGAGGAAAAGAAACUAACUAGGAUUCCCUUAGUAAUGGCGAAUGAACAGGGAUCAGCUCAGUGCCAAAUCGGAAUCACUUGUGGUUCUGAAAUGUGGCUUGAAGGCAGUACCAGUGGCAUCGCGGACGAAAGUCUCUUGGAAAAGAGCGUCAUAGAGGGUGAGAAUCCCGUGAGUCGUUCGCCGUUUGUCACGUACGGUCUGCGUUCUAACGAGUCGCGUUCCUUGGGAUUGGAGCGUAAACGGGUGGUAAAUUUCAUCCAAAGCAAAAUAUAUACUCGAGACCGAUAGCACAAAAGUACCGUGAGGGAAAGGUGAAAAGAACUUUGAGAAGAGGGUUAAAUAGUGCCUGAAAUCGUUGAGAAGGAAGCGGAUGCCGCCGUUGCAUAUGCUGAUUGUAGGAUUGCUGCUCGCUCCUGUCUUCUGCUACUCAUUCACAGACCUGGUCGUGUUGAGCAGUGUUUGGCAGAUGUUAGUGGUGUUUCCUACUUUCAGUCGUCAGCAUCACUGGCUGAGUGGAAAUAAUCCUUGGAUGCUAAUUGGUUCGCUAU
This 600-nucleotide non-coding RNA is filed under the name Perkinsus marinus ATCC 50983. Its description in RNAcentral is "Eukaryotic large subunit ribosomal RNA". It matches the Rfam family "Eukaryotic large subunit ribosomal RNA", at positions 1 to 608 of the family's 3401-position model. Lineage: Eukaryota; Perkinsozoa; Perkinsida; Perkinsidae. The record is from Rfam by way of RNAcentral.